Molecule: long non-coding RNA, 486 nt
Filed under: Equus asinus (donkey)
Lineage: Eukaryota; Metazoa; Chordata; Mammalia; Perissodactyla; Equidae
Description: lncRNA (ENSEASG00005024766.1)
Source: RNAcentral
GGUAAGGGUGGGGGGGCAAGUCUCGGUUUCUUUCCUCUGGAAGUCCCUUCUCCUUUCCUAUCUCAAGAGAAAAAGAGAGGGGAAAGAACACCCCCUUGCUAUUGCUAGCAGAUGUCAGGAAACACCUUUCAUCCAGCCCCUCAGUUCCCAAAUGUUUUCCCUCUCCUCCGGGGACUUUGAGUUGCAGCUCUAGUGGGUCCCUUUGCGCUCGCGUGUUCUGGGCACCAGCAGUCCGCCUCCAGGUGUUGGGCUUUGGGAUAGUUGUACCAUGAUGUGAAGAGUACUGCUUGGACUAUAACAGUUCAAGUCCCGGUUCUUCCUUUCCUUGCUGCUUUUAUGAACUUGGGCAAGCCUCUUCACCUUACCAAAUCUCCUCUUGAAGCAGAGAUCAUAAAGGCAACCCUACAGGGUAGUCAUGAGGUUUUAAUGCAUGCAAAAGUGCUUUGAGAAAUGUAAAGUUCUAUGCAUGUGAGUGAGCCCCUUGGA